GACAGCAGCCGCCGCGGUAAUACAGAGGGUGCGAGCGUUAAUCGGAUUUACUGGGCGUAAAGCGUGCGUAGGCGGCUAAUUGAGUCGGAUGUGAAAUCCCCGAGCUUAACUUGGGAAUUGCAUUCGAUACUGGUUAGCUAGAGUGUGGGAGAGGAUGGUAGAAUUCCAGGUGUAGCGGUGAAAUGCGUAGAGAUCUGGAGGAAUACCGAUGGCGAAGGCAGCCAUCUGGCCUAACACUGACGCUGAGGUACGAAAGCAUGGGGAGCAAACAGGAUUAGAUACCCCCGUAGUCCCUGUCUCUUAUAC
RNAcentral lists this ribosomal RNA (306 nucleotides) under uncultured bacterium. RNAcentral describes it as "partial 16S ribosomal RNA". It matches the Rfam family "Bacterial small subunit ribosomal RNA", at positions 507 to 807 of the family's 1533-position model. The record is from RNAcentral.